RNAcentral lists this long non-coding RNA (687 nucleotides) under Ananas comosus (pineapple). RNAcentral's name for it is "long non-coding RNA (ACOM_LNC037399)". The record is from RNAcentral. Lineage: Eukaryota; Viridiplantae; Streptophyta; Magnoliopsida; Poales; Bromeliaceae.
CACCCUUAUUUAAUUUUUUUAAAACUCACCCCUAUUUAACUUUUUUAAAAAUUUAAAUUUAAAUUUUUAAUUAUAAAUUUUAAAAAUUUAUAAUUUAUAAUCUUAAAAUUAAAAUUUUAUAAUUUUAUAAUUUUAAAUUUUAAAUUAAUAUUUUAAAUUUUAAAAUUUUAUUCUCGGAAACUAACUCAAAUUUAUUCAAACGCAAAAUUAGUUUAUUUCAGACUUAUAACUGAACUUAUAUCUAUCAUUGAAAUAGUCAGUUAUUGCUUAUACCCGUACCCCACCCAUUCUUGCUUAUACCUGAAAUAAAUAGUUCUUGCUAACAGACAAGUAUAAGUUCAGGUGUAAACAGUUCUUACCUAUUCCAGGGAGUGGGGGUUAGGAUAACCGGUUGAGGAGUGGAGUUAACAACCCCCAUCCCUAUUUAACACCGUUUGGGGAUAAGAGGGGGAUCCCCAACUAAACGACUGCUGAGAUUUUUGUAAGAAUAAUAUAAAAAAGUUGAGGUUUAUAGGAAUAUAUAUUUGUAAUUUGUUAUAUUUACAGGAAGGUAUAUGUAAUUAACUCUUUGUUUAAAAUAAUGAGAUUGGUUUGAGUCAUAUCUUAAAAACUGUUGUAAAGAACUAGUUUUGAACAAUUUUCCUUCGCAACGGAGUUUAUUUUUCGUUAAUAAAAGGAUUAGAAUAA